UUGGUCUUGGACUCACUCUGUAGGCCAAACACACCUCUCUUCUUUAAAAAAACAAACAAACAUGGAGCUUCUGGUAUUUUGUUGUAGCAACUAAAAAUGCACUAAUAUUUGUAGAGUGCCCCGGAGUCUGCAGGGCUGUAGAGGAAUUGCCAGAGGACUGAACAGAAUGGCUCGCUCGGACUCCGAGCAGCAAUGAGAGAGAAGAUCAGUUUCCUACUGUGUCUAACACCUACAGAAUUUUUAGAAGGGUGAUGACGAGAAGAUUUUUCUCUGUGAACAACGUUCAAAUAUCUGAAGACCUGUGAACAAUUCUUAGGGCAAAGAUGUCACCCGGAUUUCUGAAUUCAUUCACAGAAGAAGUUAAGACCCAAGAUUUGGGCAUUAGGUCAUUUAAAAAGAUCACACAAGAAUUCCUGUUGGUCUGAACGGACUACGCUGACCUGCCGCCACAAACCCCUUCAGACUCCAUGGCUUCUCUCUCCUUGGUGCUUCAUGCUCACAGCAAAGUCACGAGCUUCACACCCAAGAGGUCGACGGAGCAGCUGUUAGCUGGAAUGCAUAGUGCAUGUGGACCAGCAACAGAUGUAGAGUGGUCUUUAUGUAAAGGCCAGUUCCCGUGGGGCACGUGUUUAGACACCAACCAUACUGAAUCACACAGUCGUCUCUAGGCCUUCUGGUUUCAUCAUCUGAGUGGGUUGUUAUAUUUGUUUCCUGGAGAAAUCAUGACAAAUAAUCAUAAACUUGGCUGCUUAAAAGAACAUAAAUAAAGGCUCACAGUUUCUGGAA
Mastomys coucha (southern multimammate mouse) is the source of this 786-nucleotide long non-coding RNA. RefSeq lists it as uncharacterized. Lineage: Eukaryota; Metazoa; Chordata; Mammalia; Rodentia; Muridae. The record is from RefSeq and is a predicted model, not a curated record. The transcript has 3 exons.